This 450-nucleotide ribosomal RNA is filed under the name uncultured bacterium. Its description in RNAcentral is "partial 16S ribosomal RNA". It matches the Rfam family "Bacterial small subunit ribosomal RNA", at positions 354 to 796 of the family's 1533-position model. The record is from RNAcentral.
GUGGGGAAUAUUGGACAAUGGGCGAAAGCCUGAUCCAGCCAUGCCGCGUGUGUGAAGAAGGUCUUCGGAUUGUAAAGCACUUUAAGUUGGGAGGAAGGGCAUUAACCUAAUACGUUAGUGUUUUGACGUUACCAACAGAAUAAGCACCGGCUAACUUCGUGCCAGCAGCCGCGGUAAUACGAAGGGUGCAAGCGUUAAUCGGAAUUACUGGGCGUAAAGCGCGCGUAGGUGGUUCAGCAAGUUGAAGGUGAAAUCCCCGGGCUCAAACUGGGAAAUGCCUCCAAAACUACUGAGCUAGAGUACGGUAGAGGGUAGUGGAAUUUCCUGUGUAGCGGUGAAAUGCGUAGAUAUAGGAAGGAACACCAGUGGCGAAGGCGACUACCUGGACUGAUACUGACACUGAGGUGCGAAAGCGUGGGGAGCAAACAGGAUUAGAAACCCCGGUAGUCC